ACUGCUGCAUUGUGUUUUCUCCCUCUCUUUUUUUCCUUUUGCAAGAGAAAAAGUAAGUUAGUCGUUAACUACACAAAGGAGUUAACAUUUAACUUGAACACUGUGAGUGCUUUAGCUCUCGACCCCCACCCCCUUUCUUAUUAGAGUGAAAAUAGGUUCAGGAAGUCUCUUACUAAUCGUCACAGAUACUGGAUGAGAUCUGACUACAUCAUUUUGCUGGCUGCACUCACAGGAGGCCCGGGGGUCGUUCAUCCACAGGCCCCUCCAGGCUGCUCAGAAUCCCUGCCCGCCCCCUCCCACCCCACACUCCCAUCGGUGACGGCGCUCUAUCUCCCCUGUAAAUCCUCAGGAAUUUUCGGGAGAUGACGUCAACUUCGUGUGCUUACUCGUUCAUCCGGCGGGUAAACCGUACUAGGUAAGAGCAGGUAACACGCAGAUCACAAGAAUUACAGCGCACACGGAGGUCUGAUAACACGAGGAGCCCUCGGACGUGCAAGGAUCCGUAUCUGACCAUCAUCUUCACAGCAAAUACGGCCAGUGGCGCUUGUAGAAGUGAGAUAACCUGGGAACCGGCCAAGGGCAUGAGGGAAUGAGAGCCAGAGGACAACCAAUGACAGCGAUGGCCCUCCCUAAGCACUUGGGGCUUCUGAGACCAGCAUUCCUUCUUUCCUUUAAAAAGCCAAGAGUCCAAACAGGAAGCCUCCUCAGAAGUUAAUUCAAGGCCUUUCUAGAUGGUCUCCCUAUGUCCAAACUCCUCUCGUGCUCACUGGACCUUGGGAUUCCUCCAUCAGAACCCCAUACUCUUAGCUACAAGCCUCCUAAGAAAAGUCACAUCAAAAUCUGUCAAUGGUGUCCCUCUUUCCAACAUGGAGGAUGUGGAUUUGAAAGCAGAGGGGUGGAGAGGGAGGAAGUUUUAGGGCACCGGGCACUGGGUGGACAGAAGUGGUGUGGGAAGGGAGGGGACUCCUCCGACACUCUGGAACUCAGUGGGUGGGGCACCUCCUCCUGGUCACCAAGAACACGGUAACAAGUUGGACCUCCAGCUACUGAAGACAAAUGACUGUAAUUUUCAUACAUCCUCUGAGAUACACACAUAAACAUGUGCCAGGUUCUUACCCAUGGCGGUCCACAGCCCCUGCACACACAGGAACUGCCAUCUGUCGUUGCCCUGCAAGUGCCCAGCAUGACCCACUCAGCUAGGACUAUCCUUCUGAGGCUUAGGGCUAUAUCCACCCAGGUCUCUGCCACACAUUUUCAAAGCCCAAGUGCCUUCCCCCCCAAAGAACUCCCGUAACGAAGGGAGGAGACCCAGAAGAACAAAACACCGCAACAAACGAGAGACUGAAGGUUUCUUUCACAUCAACAUCAGGCAUUGGGUUACGCACAUUACCUGCCUUUUCUUGUUUUAAUAACACCAUAAAGGAGGUACCAUCAUUCUCAUUUGGCAGAUGAAAAAAAAAAAAAAAACUGAGGCUCAGAGAGUUUCCAAAUUUGGUCACAGUUGCAUAGGUAGGAAAUGAUGUAGCCAGGACUGAAACCCUUUUUGCGAGCUAGAAGCAAGUGGCUCUAUGUUGAUGAAUCCUCUUUGAGCCCCAACACUGCCACUGCACUUUCCCUAACAUAAAACCAGAGUUCCUUGAUGCUAACUUGAAAGACUCAGGGCACAAUUGUUGCCAGCAGACAACCCUAAGUCUGCUGAACAACAAAGGACAAAGGACGUGAACACAGAACUAGAACAGCGCAGUGGAGGGCAGACUCUGGCCCUUUCUUCAUGCCUGGGUUGUAUCAGAAAACACCCCCGAACCUGGAUUUGGGUGGCACCCUCAGUGGGCUUGUUAAAAAGAGAAAAAAAACAAACUCAUUCUCCUUCUUUAAAAAGUACCAUGCAAUGUAGAACA
This is a long non-coding RNA of Felis catus (domestic cat), 1898 nucleotides long. RefSeq lists it as uncharacterized. The record is from RefSeq and is a predicted model, not a curated record. NCBI's taxonomy places the organism in Eukaryota, Metazoa, Chordata, Mammalia, Carnivora, Felidae. The transcript is spliced from 3 exons.